GCAUAUCCCAAAAGCGGAGGAAAAGAAACCAACUGGGAUUACCUUAGUAACGGCGAGUGAAGCGGUAAAAGCUCAAAUUUGAAAUCUGGUACUUUCAGUGCCCGAGUUGUAAUUUGUAGAAUUUGUCUUUGAUUAGGUCCUUGUCUAUGUUCCUUGGAACAGGACGUCAUAGAGGGUGAGAAUCCCGUUUGGCGAGGAUACCUUUUCUCUGUAAGACUUUUUCGAAGAGUCGAGUUGUUUGGGAAUGCAGCUCAAAGUGGGUGGUAAAUUCCAUCUAAAGCUAAAUAUUGGCGAGAGACCGAUAGCGAACAAGUACAGUGAUGGAAAGAUGAAAAGAACUUUGAAAAGAGAGUGAAAAAGUACGUGAAAUUGUUGAAAGGGAAGGGCAUUUGAUCAGACAUGGUGUUUUUUGCAUGCACUCGCCUCUCGUGGGCUUGGGCCUCUCAAAAAUUUCACUGGGCCAACAUCAAUUCUGGCAGCAGGAUAAAUCAUUAAGAAUGUAGCUACUUCGGUAGUGUUAUAGCUUUUUGGAAUACUGUUAGCCGGGAUUGAGGACUGCGCUUCGGCAAGGAUGUUGGCAUAAUGGUUAAAUGCCGCCCGUCUUGAAAAACGGACCCA
Molecule: ribosomal RNA, 618 nt
Filed under: Hanseniaspora uvarum
Lineage: Eukaryota; Fungi; Ascomycota; Saccharomycetes; Saccharomycodales; Saccharomycodaceae
Description: partial large subunit ribosomal RNA
Rfam family: Eukaryotic large subunit ribosomal RNA
Source: RNAcentral